AGUGAACGCUGGCGGUAGGCCUAACACAUGCAAGUCGAACGGCAGCACAGUAAGAGCUUGCUCUUACGGGUGGCGAGUGGCGGACGGGUGAGGAAUACAUCGGAAUCUACUUUUUCGUGGGGGAUAACGUAGGGAACCUAAGCCAAAAACCCAUACGACCUAAGGGGGAAAACAGGGGAACCUUGGAACCUGCGCGGUUGGAUGAGCCGAUGUCGGAUUAGCUAGUUGGCGGGGUAAAGGCCCACCAAGGCGACGAUCCGUAGCUGGUCUGAGAGGAUGAUCAGCCACACUGGAACUGAGACACGGUCCAGACUCCUACGGGAGGCAGCAGUGGGGAAUAUUGGACAAUGGGCGCAAGCCUGAUCCAGCCAUACCGCGUGGGUGAAGAAGGCCUUCGGGUUGUAAAGCCCUUUUGUUGGGAAAGAAAAGCAGCAGGUUAAUACCCCGCUGUUCUGACGGCACCCAAAGAAUAAGCACCGGCUAACUUCGUG
Molecule: ribosomal RNA, 491 nt
Filed under: uncultured bacterium
Lineage: Bacteria
Description: partial 16S ribosomal RNA
Rfam family: Bacterial small subunit ribosomal RNA
Source: RNAcentral